This 484-nucleotide ribosomal RNA is filed under the name uncultured bacterium. RNAcentral describes it as "partial 16S ribosomal RNA". It matches the Rfam family "Bacterial small subunit ribosomal RNA", at positions 30 to 507 of the family's 1533-position model. The record is from RNAcentral.
AUUGAACGCUGGCGGCAGGCCUAACACAUGCAAGUCGAGCGGAUGAAGGGAGCUUGCUCCUGGAUUCAGCGGCGGACGGGUGAGUAAUGCCUAGGAAUCUGCCUGGUAGUGGGGGAUAACGUCCGGAAACGGGCGCUAAUACCGCAUACGUCCUGAGGGAGAAAGUGGGGGAUCUUCGGACCUCACGCUAUCAGAUGAGCCUAGGUCGGAUUAGCUAGUUGGUGGGGUAAAGGCCUACCAAGGCGACGAUCCGUAACUGGUCUGAGAGGAUGAUCAGUCACACUGGAACUGAGACACGGUCCAGACUCCUACGGGAGGCAGCAGUGGGGAAUAUUGGACAAUGGGCGAAAGCCUGAUCCAGCCAUGCCGCGUGUGUGAAGAAGGUCCUCGGAUUGUAAAGCACUUUAAGCUGGGAGGAAGGGCAGUAAGUUAAUACCUUGCUGUUUUGACGUUACCAACAGAAUAAGCACCGGCUAACUUCGUG